AGAGUUUGAUCCUGGCUCAGGGUUAACGCUGGCGAUGUGCCUAAGACAUGCAAGUCGAACGGGACUUGUGUGUAACACAUGGAAUUAAUUAAAAAUUAGUUUCGUGUGUUAUACACGAGUUUAGUGGCGAACGGGUGAGUAAUAGAUACGAACAUACCUCAAAGAGGAGCAUAGCCUGCCGAAAGGCAGGGUAAUUUUCCAUAUUCCCUACGGGGGAAAGACGCAAGUCGCUUUGAGAAUGGCGUAUCCACUACCAGCUUGUUGGUGAGGUAAUGGCUCACCAAGGCUAUGACGGUUACCGGCUCUUAGCGGAGAGUCCGGCACAGUGAGACUGGGACACGGCUCACACACCUACGGGUGGCAGCAGUUAGGAAUUUUGCGCAAUGGACGAAAGUCUGACGCAGCGACAUCGCGUGAGGGAUGACGGCCUUUGGGUUGUAAACCUCUUUUAUUUUGACAUGAAGUCAAAUUGAAUAAGCAACUACUAACUACGUGCCAGCAGUCGCGGUAAUACGUAGGUUGCAAGCGUUACCCGGUUUUACUGGGCGUAAAGCGUCUGUAGGUUGUUUUU
Molecule: ribosomal RNA, 571 nt
Filed under: uncultured bacterium
Lineage: Bacteria
Description: bacterial SSU rRNA
Rfam family: Bacterial small subunit ribosomal RNA
Source: RNAcentral